This 57-nucleotide transfer RNA is filed under the name Oribatula sp. XFX. Its description in RNAcentral is "tRNA-Cys". Lineage: Eukaryota; Metazoa; Arthropoda; Arachnida; Sarcoptiformes; Oribatulidae. The record is from RNAcentral.
CAGGCUUAAAUUUCACUUCAAAUUGCAAAUUUGAAUUAAUUGGGGUUAAAAGGUUUA